This 427-nucleotide ribosomal RNA is filed under the name uncultured bacterium. RNAcentral describes it as "bacterial SSU rRNA". It matches the Rfam family "Bacterial small subunit ribosomal RNA", at positions 773 to 1204 of the family's 1533-position model. The record is from RNAcentral.
ACGCAAUAGAUACCCGGGUAGUCCACGCCCUAAACGAUGUCUACUAGUUGUCGGGUCUUAAUUGACUUGGUAAACGCAGCUAAACGCGUGAAGUAGACCGCCUGGGGAGUACGGUCGCAAGAUUAAAACUCAAAGGAAUUGACGGGGACCCGCACAAGCGGUGGAUGAUGUGGAUUAAUUCGAUGCAACGCGAAAAACCUUACCUACCCUUGACAUGGAUGGAANCUGAGAGAUUGGGGAGUGCUCGAAAGAGAACCAUUACACAGGUGCUGCAUGGCUGUCGUCAGCUCGUGUCGUGAGAUGUUGGGUUAAGUCCCGCAACGAGCGCAACCCUUGUCAUUAGUUGCUACGAAAGGGCACUCUAAUGAGACUGCCGGUGACAAACCGGAGGAAGGUGGGGAGUGACGUCAAGUCCUCAUGGCCCUUA